UGCAGUGCAAAAAUAAUUACUAAUAAUAUUGGAAAUUUACCAUUCAUGAAUGUUAGAAUUUUAUAAUCUGAUUUAGAUUUCGUUACUCAAUUUUGAGUGCUACUUGUACUAAGUGUAAAGCAACUUGAAACAACAAUUUUAGAGUGUAUUACGGAAUCCGACUUUCAUCUGACAUCAGUUUGUUUACAAGUUCAACACAUCGAGAACCUUGAGCGUUUUUUUUUUUUCGAAAUCUGAACUUGCAAUUAUCUCAACUUUUUCGCCCCAAAUCUGUCUAAAAAUGAGUGCUCCAAGUUUUCUCGAGUUGCUAAAAAAGUUUACGACAACGGUAAACAAAUGGCAUCGAGAUGCUGAAGAAGGAGUACGACGAGCUUAAGUCCUCGACGGACAUUGACAAGCGGUCCGCACUGCACCAAGCAUUCCGCGAUCUGCUUCUGGCCAAAACGGGCGACAUUCCGGCGAUCGAGAAAUUAAUCUCAUUUGCGGUUGCUGCCUGUCGGUCGGAACUAGGAAAUGACCGCUCCGAUGAUCCCGGUGGUGCUGUUGGGUGACAUUUUUUAAGCCGUCACGCUGGAUAAGUGCGAGGCGAUUUGCACCUGAGAACAAUGUCACGACCUGGAAGGAGGAUUUUUUCUUCACCGCUUUCAAGCACAACUUUCUGCGGACGUGCUACGAUUUGCUGAGGGGAUUUUCUUGGCCAAAUUCUUUCCGUUUAGCGGUUGAACCUAGGUGCUCCCAGUGGUCUCAAAUUGUUUAAAACAUUUACGACAACGGUAAACAAAUGCACCGAGGGAUCAGCAUCGAGCUGUUGAAGGAUUACAACGAGACGAAGUCCUCGACGGACAUUGACAGGCAUUUCGCACAGCACCAGGCGUUCGCGAUCUGCGACCGGCCGGGACAGACGGCAUUCCGGCGAUCGAAACAUUCAUCUCGCUUGCGGUUGCGGUCUGUCGGUCGGAAAUGACCCCUCCGACGAUCUCGAUGCUACUGCUGAGGAUCAUGUUUAAUGCCGUUACGCUGGACAAGUGCGGGUCGCGACCAGGGAGGAAUUUUUCUUCACAUAUAAUUUCGGAGUUUAAUCUGAAGAAGAUCAUCAAGUACGGGGUGGAGGAGAGUGAUUUGGGAGAUUCUGCGCGUUCGAUGACUGAUUGUGCGGAAUCGUCGUCUCGGUCGGUGUGAAAAACGAGAGAGAAUGGGAGACCAGUGAGGUACAGGAGGAUGGGGAUGUUCAGAUUAGUGGUGGCGCUGGGACGCAACAGCCGCAGCUGAAGAUCGACUACAAUUUAAAUUGCAAGCUUUGGGCGCUGCAAGACUUUUCCGUUAACCCAUACCAGAGCUGAUGAUCCUUCACCUGUCUCCUCGUCAGUCAAGUUCAAGUCGGACAGUCACUGCCUUACCGUGGCUCAGGUUUAUUGGCUGAAGGAAACUAAAACGACGGUAACCAAACUGAUUGAGGAAUCUCCGCCAGGGAAAAAAAUCUGUCCAGUGAGGAACCGCAGCAGCGGCAAUCUCUGAAAUGGCAACCGAGGACCAGCCGGUGGUUUGAAUUUUUUAGAUUGUUUGAGACUAUUUUAAAAAUAUAUCAAUUUUAGGAUCGACAAAAUUGGUUUAUGUUUAUGCUUCUUUUUAGAAUCGACAGAAUUUCUAAUCGUCGCUCCAUCAAACUCCUUGCACAUUAAAUAGCUAUCAGAUGCUAUCAACGGAACUACCCGGCCGGUGGUCAUCUUCAAAUUGACGUCGGAAUGUUCCGAUCAUAUCCAGUCGCCGGUUCGCCAUACCAAAAGUCAGCGAUGCCGGUGGUGACCGAGCUAAAAAUUAAUUCAAUUCAAUCAGCUGAUUUUUGUAAUGAUUACUUUUUGAUAAUGUGAAUUAUUACAUUUUUAAUACACGCAUAUUUAGAUAUUUAGGUAUAUACAUUAAAAAAUAUUGCUUAUUUUAAAUGCAAAAAAAAAAUCGAAACACAAAUUCCAUUGUUCACAUAUAAGAUAAUCAUUGUAAAUUCAUUGUUGAAUAUGUAAUGUUCUGUACUAUCAAAUAACAAAUAAAUCCAUUGUACUCCAAUCGAGAAAAAAAUGUUUAUUCGCUUAAUAUUCCUGACACAGGUCUUUUAAUAUAUUUUUCUUAGAAAAAACUAAGUCGAAUAUUUCCAACAGCACCAUUCGACAAAUAAUUAUUAAGGAUAUCCCGCAUAAACGAGAACUUUAAAAAAACUUUUUGUUAAAUGGUUUUCUCACCAUUUCAGAGAUCGUAACCACUAUUUGAAAAAGGGUAGGAAAACCUUAAAAAUACCAUAUCGGAAAUGGUACCCUACCAUUUUUCAUAAAGUUCGACCAUCUGAAUUGAGGGUGGUUAGCAACGCCCGCAUAGAAAAAAACCGUUUGGAAAUCAUUUGUUAAAUAUUCAAUCAACAUUUUGACAAAUUGUAUAGCCACUAUUUGGUAAAUCAUUUUUUUAAUUCCUCACCGUCUCUCAAAUAGUGAACUAUUCCCCAUAUAUGUUGUUAGCAAUAUUCACUAUUUGAUUUUUUCUUCUAGCGACACUUAGUCAAAUGCUUUUUGAAAGUUCAUUUUUGCGUAUAUAUUUUAGGGAUUUCACCAUUUCUCAAAUGGUAUUUUUAUGGUUUUAAAUAGUUAUUUCAGUGAUUUUUCAUGGCGCAUUACAUUUUGAGAAAUAGUUGUAACAAUUCGAAUGAACAUCAAUUUUUCAAGGAUUUUCGGAAUUUUGAGCUAGAAACAUUUAUUUUGCUUUGGUCAAAUAGCUUAUUUAUUUUUUUAUUUCACAAAAACACAAAAAAUUCCACCAAAAAUCUUAGGAUUAAGUUAUACAGAGGAAAAAAAAAUCACAGAUCAAGGAGGCAUCCAAUGUGGUAGAAAGUUGACUGAAUAUCAGCUCCAUCUCCGCCAUCCUGUGGAAAUCGUCGGUCGGAUGGAUGGGUUCCAAGUUUAACGUAACUUCAGCAGCCGCUUCUGAAGGAAAACGAAGCAGUCGUGCAACGCCGGGCUAUCGAGAGUUCACCUGGUGAUCUUGUUGCUCUUGGUUUAAACCUGAAAAAAGAAAACAAACUACACAGUAUCUAGCUUACUACAUUUAAUGUUAACUUAUCUGAUUUGUCCAUUAGGUUGCUGGUAAUAUUCUUCAAUACGUUAUACGUUAUCCUAGACUAGAAGUUUAU
Molecule: long non-coding RNA, 3172 nt
Organism: Culex pipiens pallens (northern house mosquito)
Lineage: Eukaryota; Metazoa; Arthropoda; Insecta; Diptera; Culicidae
Exons: 3
Source: RefSeq, a predicted model, not a curated record